AUGGACCCUAUGGACCUUCAAGCUGAGGAGUGCCACAACAUCGAGCUUUGGUACAACACCACACAUAACAAAUUUGCAUCUUAUGCAUGGAUUAACUCACAUUAUGAUUGCCUUAUUGCAUCUUGUAUUACCAUGUCAUCCAUGAUAUAUGAGCUUGUGCACUUUCUUAGCAAAUUUGUUGUGAUCUUUCUUGAUGACAUAUUCAUACAUCAUGAUCAUAUUGCCUACCAUCAAUUGCAUGAUAACUUAUUCAUAUUGAGCAUCCAUUGCCAUAUUCAUGCUAUUGAUAAACCGUCUCCCUAUGACAUCAUUUUACACCGUGGUUGCAUUGAUCAUAUUCACAACACAUUUGUGUGCACAAUGAAUUAUUUUGCUCCCAUGAACGCUUUGCAUAUCAUUCUAUAUCAUCUUGAUAAGCUGCAUGCACUUUGUCAUGAACAAUCUUGCCGCACAGACUCAUUCUUACAUGAUGGACACUUUGUGUGCGCUAACCACUGUAUUUUCGAGUGUCAUUUGUGUUUGCUCUUUUUGCAUGUAUACCACUCCGGCGACACCUUGGAGUACUUGGAUUGCGCAAUGUCUUCAACUCCGUCCAACUACAAGUCCGUCCACAACAGCCGUUUCCAUGGUGACGAGGAUCAUGAUCCGAGGUCGGAUCUUUCCCAGGGAGGGGGAGAUGAUGCGGAGCAUCCCACGAUCAUCCCCAUGUACACUUCGACUACUCCCCAAGCCCCAAGUGGACAUACGACGAGACCUCGACCAUACGCCAUUGGACACAAGGUGAACUCACUCCUCUUUGAACCAUCACUUUCCACAUAUGAGACAUGGUUACUACCUCAUGCAUGGACCUUGUGUAUACUCAGUCUCAUACGAGAUGACCAUGGAGAUUCAAAGGAUCAAGGCCAAGCAUGGAAGAGAAGACGGAAGAAAGGAGAAGAAGACGGAGCGGCUGCUGAAGUCAGCCCGGACGUACGACCCCCGUCCGGAUCAUCCGGACUCAGCCGGAUCAUCCGGAUGCCCCCCGGAUCAUCCGGGUAA
RNAcentral lists this ribosomal RNA (1038 nucleotides) under Triticum aestivum (bread wheat). RNAcentral's name for it is "partial small subunit ribosomal RNA". Lineage: Eukaryota; Viridiplantae; Streptophyta; Magnoliopsida; Poales; Poaceae. The record is from RNAcentral.